RNAcentral lists this ribosomal RNA (492 nucleotides) under uncultured bacterium. RNAcentral's name for it is "bacterial SSU rRNA". It matches the Rfam family "Bacterial small subunit ribosomal RNA", at positions 28 to 524 of the family's 1533-position model. The record is from RNAcentral.
GAUGAACGCUAGCGGCAGGCCUAAUACAUGCAAGUCGAACGCUCAGUAGCAAUACUGGGAGUGGCGCACGGGUGCGUAACGCGUACACAAUCUACCUCUAAGCGGGGGACACCUCCUGGAAACGGGGAUUAAUACCGCAUAAUAUGCCGAGGUCGCAUGACUUUGGUAUUAAAGCAGCAAUGCACUUAGAGAUGAGUGUGCGUCCCAUUAGGUAGUUGGUGAGGUAACGGCUCACCAAGCCUAUGAUGGGUAGCCGGUCUGAGAGGAUGGUCGGCCACACGGGCACUGAGACACGGGCCCGACUCCUACGGGAGGCAGCAGUAAGGAAUAUUGGUCAAUGGUGGAAACACUGAACCAGCCAUGCCGCGUGGAGGAAUAAGGUCCUACGGAUUGUAAACUCCUUUUGACGAGGAAGAAGUGUUAGAUUUAUCUAAUUUUGACGGUACUCGUAGAAUAAGCACCGGCUAACUCCGUGCCAGCAGCCGCGGUAAU